AUUCCUACGGGGCGCCGCAGUGGGGCUUAUUGCGUUUUUGGCGAAAGCCUGACGCAGCGACGCCGCGUGAGGGAUGAAGGUCUUCGGAUCGUAAACCUCUGUCAGCAGGGAAGAACGGUCACUGUGCUAAUCAGCAGUGAAUUGACGGUACCUGCAAAGGAAGCACCGGCUAACUCCGUGCCAGCAGCCGCGGUAAUACGGAGGGUGCGAGCGUUAAUCGGAAUUACUGGGCGUAAAGCGCUCGUAGGCGGUAUGUCAAGUCAAGGGUGAAAUCCCCGCGCUCAACGUGGGAACUGCCUUUGAAA
This 305-nucleotide ribosomal RNA is filed under the name uncultured bacterium. RNAcentral's name for it is "bacterial SSU rRNA". It matches the Rfam family "Bacterial small subunit ribosomal RNA", at positions 335 to 632 of the family's 1533-position model. The record is from RNAcentral.